RNAcentral lists this ribosomal RNA (172 nucleotides) under Cladosporium sp. Kai_2014_2. Its description in RNAcentral is "partial 18S rRNA". It matches the Rfam family "Eukaryotic small subunit ribosomal RNA", at positions 87 to 262 of the family's 1831-position model. The record is from RNAcentral. Lineage: Eukaryota; Fungi; Ascomycota; Dothideomycetes; Cladosporiales; Cladosporiaceae.
CUGCGAAUGGCUCAUUAAAUCAGUUAUCGUUUAUUUGAUAGUACCUUACUACAUGGAUAACCGUGGUAAUUCUAGAGCUAAUACAUGCUAAAAACCUCGACUUCGGAAGGGGUGUAUUUAUUANAUAAAAAACCAAUGCCCUUCGGGGCUCCUUGGUGAAUNAUAAUAACUU